Molecule: long non-coding RNA, 566 nt
Filed under: Sus scrofa (pig)
Lineage: Eukaryota; Metazoa; Chordata; Mammalia; Artiodactyla; Suidae
Description: lncRNA (ENSSSCG00070003013.1)
Source: RNAcentral
GGGCUAGCCCGACCCUGGCGCUGCCAAGACCUCGAAGCCCCCUCCCAACACACCCGCUCUCCCGCCCUGGGCAGAUCCCCCGGCGUCUCCCUUCACCGGGGAGAGCCCUGCAGGGCCGGCGGAGAGACGGACAGACGGAUGGGGAACGCACACGGAGGGAAACUUGUUCCUCCGGGUCUCCUGUCAGACACCCCGGACCUCCCCUGGGCGCCAGCUCCUCGGCCCCAACGGGUCCAGAAACAAGCCGGAUUUUUUUUCUCUCUUCUUUCUGGAAAUUGGCGUUGGUGUGUGUUUCCCUACCUCCCUCUUCCCCCCUCCCACUCCCCCCUUUUUUUUUGAGACAUGGCCCGGGCAGUGACUCCUGGAAGAGGAACAAGUGUGGGAAAAGAGAGAGGAAACCGGAGCUAAAUGACAGGAUGCAGGCGACUUGAGACACAAAAAGAGGAGCGUUUCUCUCGGAUCAAGGCAGUGCCUCGCCGCUUUCCUUUCUCCAAGACGGACUGAGGAUUUUACAGCUCUGGGGGGAAAACAGAGCGCCGCCCCAGGGCGAAUCUCCAACAAUCCGG